ACUGGCCUCACAUGAUUUUGCUUUUCCAUAGUUUUGCAGAAAUAAAUUGCUAAUGAACACCCGCCCUUAAUGCGACAGGCCACCGCUGGUAGCACCCUAGAGUCCUGCCAAAAUGGGAGAUCUUUUAUACUUUUCUGGGUCUAUGCCGAAGGAACAAAGAGUGAGGGAUCUGGACAGAAGAGGUGGGGGCCAUGUAUCUUUCCAUGUGAUCCUUCGUUGCACGCCACCCUUAUGUGUACAUGACCCUAAAAGAUACUUUGUCAACAUUAUUAUUCACACAUCUAAGAACAGCUCCACUGCUUUUUUCUUUUCCCUGCUUCGACAUCAGGGCAUUUAGCCGACCCUUCCAGAAGUUCAGAGGAUGACAGGGGACAUGCCAAGAAUAAUGAAGAAAAAUCAUGGAGAACAUAAAGCCCGUCAGUAGACAUAAAUCUCCUUGCUGUAAUCCCUGCCUGUUGUUUGUUUCAUCAGAAGGACAUUGACAAAUGGUGAGCCAAUACGACGUGCAAUUCUUCCAAUCACAUCUGAUACUCAUUUCCAAAGACACAAAACACGCUAAGAAUGUUACAAGCGCUGUAAGGAAGGAAGAUUGUCGUCAAACUCUUCUCUCUAGUCUUGACCUUAAAGACUCCAGUUCUUCCAGCAUCCUACAACCCCUGAUUUUCUGCUUCUCUUCAAAGAUGAAUGAUGCAAAGAUGAUGAGAUGUUGAAACUUUCUUGUGGAUUGUGGGUUAAAAUGACAUAAUGUUGCUUUGAGGUGAUUUAAAUGACUUGAUUCAAUCCUUUGCAUAUAGUUUACUUUGCUUCCUCUAGAUAAGGUAACUGUUUAUGUGUUUAUGUGGCACCUGCCGUAAUAGUGAGUUACAGAAGAAAUCUCCACAUGAAAGUGCCCUGAAGCGUCCACCUCUUCCUGCCUUCAUAUCAUCUUGUCUGACUGUUAUUUCCUGUGUGUGGAAAGUUAGUAGGAAAACUCUAGCAUGAGUAUUCCCUGUUCUGGAAGAUCCUCUGUUCACAGAGGGCAGUUCUACAUUUGAAAGUCUGUCAACGGGCAGUUGUCUAUUUGAAGAACUCCUCUGUUUGAAGCAUUGCCUAGUCCAAGUUCAGCUUAAAGGUUAAGAACCCUUAGAAAAAAGAAUAGGGGUCUUGAAUUUAUCCAUCAACAGACAAGCCAGCAGGCUGAAUGUGAUUAGGGAGGUCAUACAUCUGCCCUUCUCAUGCUGCAUUUCUAUUUACAUGUAGUAAUCAUCUCUAAGUUUGCAUAUGUUUAAGCAAAUCUGGAUAGAUAUUUUAGACAAAAUGGAUUCCUCCUUCCUCCUUUUUUCUCAUUUCUUUUGGCACUGCUCAAGCACCUCUGUGGCUUCCUAGCUAUAAUUGCUAGUAAUGAUCAAUGGUUAUUUUGUAUAAAAAUUGCAUUCAACCAAAUAACAAUGUUUCUUCAGAUGUUACUGAACAAAAACAUGUAUGAAGCCAAUUUGUAUAAAAAGAGGAAAGAAAUUAGAAAACUCUGACAAUCACUCAGUUUAUUAUUGCAGUCUGUAAAUCUAGCUGCCUGGAAAUAAAGAAUCAAUAUUUCAUCGCCCUCUUUAAAAA
Long non-coding RNA from Salvator merianae (Argentine black and white tegu), 1590 nucleotides. NCBI's taxonomy places the organism in Eukaryota, Metazoa, Chordata, Lepidosauria, Squamata, Teiidae. The record is from Ensembl.